RNAcentral lists this ribosomal RNA (380 nucleotides) under uncultured eukaryote. RNAcentral describes it as "partial 18S ribosomal RNA". It matches the Rfam family "Eukaryotic small subunit ribosomal RNA", at positions 592 to 976 of the family's 1831-position model. The record is from RNAcentral.
CAAUAGCGUAUAUUAAAGUUGUUGCGGUUAAAAAGCUCGUAGUUGGAUUUCUGCUGAGGACGACCGGUCCGCCCUCUGGGUGAGUAUCUGGCUCGGCCUUGGCAUCUUCUUGGAGAACGUUGCUGCACUUGACUGUGUGGCGCGGUAUCCAGGACAUUUACUUUGAGGAAAUUAGAGUGUUUCAAGCAGGCAUACGCCUUGAAUACAUUAGCAUGGAAUAAUAAGAUAGGACCUCGGUUCUAUUUUGUUGGUUUCUAGAGCUGAGGUAAUGAUUAAUAGGGAUAGUUGGGGGCAUUCGUAUUUAACUGUCAGAGGUGAAAUUCUUGGAUUUGUUAAAGACAGACUACUGCGAAAGCAUUUGCCAAGGAUGUUUUCAUUGA